Molecule: long non-coding RNA, 1373 nt
Filed under: Homo sapiens (human)
Lineage: Eukaryota; Metazoa; Chordata; Mammalia; Primates; Hominidae
Description: HSALNT0376299
Source: RNAcentral
CGACAACAAGAACCAGGGUGGGAGUAACCCCAGAUUUUACCUAGAUAUGAGCUAAACAAGUUGCUUCUUGAUUUCACAUUGGCAAUUGCGAUAGUACUUUGAGGACUGGCCCAGAAAGCAUUUUCAUCCCCUGGCAAAACUCUUCCCCAUCAGCUUCCCAACCAUGUGUACAAAGGAAAUGCAAAUACAUGUGAAUAGUAGCCUGAGUCAAAGUCUUCUUGGAAGGUAAGGCUGCUUGCGACUGCUGCUGCUUUGAAAAAGAAAAAUCCUACAAUGCAAGUGAAAGGACAGAUUUUCUGAGCCACUGCUUCUGCACCAGGGUGAGGGUUCAGAAGGACGAAAUACAGGUACCAUGGUUCUCUGAAGAGAUGGUCUUGUGUGGAGCACACCUGGCAUGAAAGGAUGGGGACAGCUUCUACCCUCUCCCCAGCAGGGCCCGACAAGCAGGCUGUGUGGCAUUCCUGUAUUUCCAGGGCUGGCACAGUGGCUGACACACAGUAGCUGCCUGCACCAAGACCUGUACUCGUUGGAGACUAUGAUGGACAACACAACAUGAAUUUCUUGCCCUCAGGUGGUUUACAAUCUAGAGAGGGAGGCAGACAAAUGACCAGAUGACAUCCGAGAGACCAAGCUUUGCCUGCCCUCCUGUGGCCUUGGCUGGGGGAUCCUCCUGUGGCCCAUGGAAGGGGCAUUUCUCUGAACUGAAGGACUCCACCUCUCCUAUGCUAUAACUGGCCAGGGAUGGGCCUGCAGUGGCUGAUCAGAGGUUCAGCCCUUGGUAAUUCAAGCCAAUCCAGUUUCUUGCCUUAAAAUUUGUAAUUGACAUGCUGACAGAUGAAGUUAGUUACAGGUGGUGAGUGAGCUUCAAGUUUAUGGAGACUUGGGACUGAAGCCACUUGAUGAGCCACGUAUUCCCAGAGAGUGUGUAAAAGCAAAAGAAGCAACCAGAAGAGAGGAUGAGAGAGGGGAAGGGGGCAGACUUGGAGAGUCAGCUCCCCUUGAUGGCAACAACUCCCCUUGCUCCUUAUCUUUGUGUCCUGUGAGAUUACCAUUCUUUAAAAUAAAUCCCUCUCUUCCUGCGACAAGUAGACUGAAUUUGUUUUUCUUACAAGCAAAAGUUCUGUUUUUAAUUCAAAAUGUUAGAGAACAAUGUGCAGUCAGCCUUUCUAUCUACAGGUUCUGCAUCCACAGAUUUAGCCAGCCUAGGAUUGAAACUGUAGUUAGGCCUGUAAUGGUUGUGUCUGUAGUGAACAUGUGCAGACUUUUUUCUUGUCAUUAUUCCCUAAACAAUACAGAAUAACAACUAUUUACAUUGCAUUUACAUUGUACCAGGUAUUGUAUGCAAUCUGGAGAUGAUUUAAAGUGUACAGGAG